Molecule: ribosomal RNA, 468 nt
Filed under: uncultured bacterium
Lineage: Bacteria
Description: partial 16S ribosomal RNA
Rfam family: Bacterial small subunit ribosomal RNA
Source: RNAcentral
GACGAACGCUGGCGGCGUGCUUAACACAUGCAAGUCGAACGGAAAGGCCCUGCUUUUGUGGGGUGCUCGAGUGGCGAACGGGUGAGUAACACGUGAGGAACCUGCCCUUGACUUUGGGAUAACUUCAGGAAACUGGGGCUAAUACCGGAUAGGAGCUCCUGCUGCAUGGUGGGGGUUGGAAAGUUUCGGCGGUUGGGGAUGGACUCGCGGCUUAUCAGCUUGUUGGUGGGGUAGUGGCUUACCAAGGCUUUGACGGGUAGCCGGCCUGAGAGGGUGACCGGCCACAUUGGGACUGAGAUACGGCCCAGACUCCUACGGGAGGCAGCAGUGGGGAAUAUUGCACAAUGGGCGGAAGCCUGAUGCAGCAACGCCGCGUGCGGGAUGACGGCCUUCGGGUUGUAAACCGCUUUCGCCUGUGACGAGGCGUGAGUGACGGUAAUGGGUAAAGAAGCACCGGCUAACUACGUG